RNAcentral lists this ribosomal RNA (321 nucleotides) under Triticum aestivum (bread wheat). Its description in RNAcentral is "partial small subunit ribosomal RNA". Lineage: Eukaryota; Viridiplantae; Streptophyta; Magnoliopsida; Poales; Poaceae. The record is from RNAcentral.
AUGACACGUCUGCCCCCAUACGUAACGAUGAUUAUACUGGUCAACGGGGUGAGGAGAUUAGCAAGCAGAAGAAUGAUGCGUCUGCCCCCGUACGUGACGAUGAUUAUACUGGUCAACUGGGUGAGGAGGUUUUUGUUGAUGCGUCAGAUGAUGAUGAAGAUGAGAAGCAAGAGCCCCCUGCUGAAUCUCCUCCGCAUGAUUUUAGUGAUGACUAUGUCAUUGAUGAUGACUGUUUCAAUGGUGAUUCUAAUGGGGGUUGCAAUGGUGUUGAUGACAAUGUUGAUUAUACGGAGGGAGUUUUUGCACCAGACCAGCCAGUAA